UUUUUUUCUUCAUAGCAGGUGUGUUACCAGAAAGGGGUCCCAAUCUAGACCCUAAGAGAGGGUUUUGGAUCUUGCACAAGAAAAGAAUUCAGGACAAAUCUACCGAGUAAAGUGAAAGCAAGUUUAUUAAGAAAGUAAAGGAAUAAAAGAAAGCCUACUCCAUAGACAGAGCAUGGUGUUCCCAGAAGGAAGAGAAGGAACACAUCCACCUUAAACAGAGCAUGGUGUUCCCAGAAGGAAGAGAAGGAACACAUCCACCUUAAACAGAGCAUGGUGUUCCCAGAAGGAAGAGAAGGAACACAUCCACCUUAGACAGAGCAUGGUGUUCCCAGAAGGAAAAGAAGGAACACAUCCACCUUAGACAGAGCAUGGUGUUCCCAGAAGGAAAAGAAGGAACACAUCCACCUUAGCCCAGCAGCUCUCAGCCUCAUCUGACCCAGCCCCUAUUCAAGAUGGAGACGCCCUGGUUCAGACGCCUCUGACAGAUGCUCCAAGAUGAUGUGAAGCAUCAACAUGUUCACCUCUGCUCUGGUUACAAGAGGGAUGCAGUGUUCCAGGUGUCACAUGGAGAUAGCCGGGCAUCUCAUGAAGACAGGGGCAUUUUUGUCCUUUGAUACUUUCUAUGAAUAAGGAAAAAAUUAUCUGAUAUCUCCCUUAAAACCUUUCUGGCAGGAUUGGGCCCCAUAGUGUGCCUUGCUGGAGGAGAGGCUGGAAGGGACAGUACCCGCCAUCUUUGUUCUCUCAGGUUGGAGACAGGCCCUGCUGGAGAAUGGGGAGGCACGAGGAAUAAAGAGGGUCUACUUCAGAGCAGCAGAAAAAAUGUUUCUUUCUGGAAAUAUACUGAAGAACAAAAUGUGAUAUGAAGACAUAUGGAAUAUAAAAACAAAGGGUGGACAGGCUGUGUAAAAAUGGAAUCUGUCACUCAUGUCUCCUAUUUGAUAAAUUGGAGUAUAUAUAAAUUUACUCAAUUUAAAUGCAAAUAUUUGAUUUUAGAAAGUCUCAUACUCUAUAUAUUAUAGGGCAGAAAAUUUUCAUAUCAUCGCACACUCUAUUAAAGAGGAUUUCAAACUAUUUUAAAACUGUUCAGCAGCCUUGUAAUAAAGUUAUCCUCUGAACCUCUUCACACACUUAUCAACCUUGACUUAUAUUACUCCAAAUAUUUCAGCCUGUUUCUUGAGGAUGCUUUACCUUGGGGUCUCUAAGUGUAAAGAUUUCCAGUUGUUUCCAGCACAUUCUGUCACCUUUGUUCAACUCUCCAACUUUACUUCAUUAAUGUAUAUGGAUAAUGUUCAGUUCCAUCACAUCUUAUGAAGAACUAAUGAAGCUCUUCCAGACUUAAUUUUAGGAUUCAGUGGCUGUCUGGAUUCCCUUGUAUCAGCAUUCACUUUCGUCAUCACUUGCCUUGGUAAUUUCUCCUUCUCACAACAGCAAAUUUCACGACUAACGAUGGCCCGAAGGCUCCUUCCCUCCACGGGAUUCUGCUCCAGCCACAGCAGAGACUAUUUUGCACACCUUCCAGACAUUGCUGCCCCAUUCCAGGUACCUCAAGUGUCUCAAUAUCAAGUUGCAAUAGAAGCUUGCUGUUAGUGGAUCUGCACUUUAAAAUGGUACUUAAUAUGAAUACAUAAUCAGAAGGGAUUUUUUUACUUGUUUUGUGAAAAUGAACUGCAAGUCAACUAAGAUAUUUAAAACAAGGAAAAAGAAAGUCUUCUUCUACAGUGCCUCCAGGCAGAUACAAGUGCCCUUCUUGUCUCAUGGACUCAAUCAGGAGAUAUGAAGAUUGACAACUGAUUGGCAAAAGUGAAGUCACUGUGUGACCUGUCCUGAAAAGAUGGUGGCUGCAUCUAGAAACAGUGACGUGUUUGGGGAACAAUGGAGUAGAGUCAGAGACGCACCUACUAAGACAUUUUGGCUGCUGGGCACCUGAACAUGAGCAAUGUGAAGCUUCCGGUGCGUGUUUCCAUAGAGAGUUUUCUGAUAAUGUGUCAGUUAUUUUUAGCCACAAAACACUAUAAGACAACUGAGCAUGCUUUUCAGUGGCUAACAACUAUAAGCAUUAAUUUUGCUCAUGCACUAAGGGAUGACUGAGCCCUUCUGCUGGCCUGGGCCACGCCUAACUGAUUGCAGCUGGGCUAGCUCUUGCAUCAGCUGGUGGAUUGGCCUGGGGCAGGCUGGCCUGGGGUAGCUUUGGUUGGGAUGAUUUUUUUCUGCUCUGUGGUCUUUCAUCUUGUGAUAGGCUAGUCUCGGCUUUUCCUACAGUGGAGGCAGGGGUCUGAGGGAAGAAGUGGAAACACUUGAGGCCUGGGAGGCCUACUCUGAUAAUAAGCCAAGUCACCUCUGCUGCAUUCUAUUGGUUAGAGCAAGCCACAGCUCAGCCCAGACACAAGAGUUGGGCAACACCCUCUACUUCUUGAUGAGAGGAGCUAACAUGUAACUUUGCAAAUGGAAUAAAUAUAGAAAAAGGUGAAAAUUCAGGGCCAUUUUUGCAAUCAGUCCAUUACAGAUGGUUUAUUAUUGAGAAACAUCUAUACAUCCAUAUCCAUAUAAAAUUACAUAUCUGUAUCUAUUUUUGAUGUUAUAGUUGACCCCUGAUCCAGAGAAGAAAGGGAUAGAGUGUAAUAAUCUCUGCUUUCUGGUGGAUCUCCUGUUGUUGAGUAAAAGGGAAUAUGAUCAGGAAAUCACAAAUAUCAAAAGAAUGGAAUGGAUAACUGACAAAUGAUUUAUAUUCCAUAUGCGUAUGUCACAUUUAAUAAAACAAAAUUAUGGCUGAGCACAGUGGCUCACACCUAUAAUCUUAGCACUUUGGAGGCCGAGGAGGGCGGAUCACAAGGUCAAGUUUAAGACCAGCCUGAACGACAUGGUGAAACCCCGUCUCUACUAAAAAUACAAAAAUUAGCUGGGCAUGGUGGUGCAUACCUGUAAUCCUAGCUAUUCAGGAGGCUGAGGCAGGAGAAUCGCUUGAACCCAGGAGGCAGAGGUUGCAGUGAGCUAAGAUCGUGCCACUGCACUCCAGCCUGGGUGACAGAGUGAGACUCCAUCUCAAACAAACAAACAAACAAACACCCCACAAAACUACAUAAUAGGAAAAUGUACUUGAUAAUAUUAAACUUUUAAGCAGUCCUUUAGAAAUGGCUGAGAAAAGUGAUUAGGAAAAGGGUGAAAACCUCCAACACUUAGGGAAAAUCCUGUAGCUAUCAGCGGCAGAAAGCAAUCCUUAAUUUUCCGUAUGUCCCAGAGGGAAUGAGAAAGUCAACUGGACUGAGGCUGU
Molecule: long non-coding RNA, 3268 nt
Filed under: Homo sapiens (human)
Lineage: Eukaryota; Metazoa; Chordata; Mammalia; Primates; Hominidae
Description: HSALNT0253012
Source: RNAcentral